Molecule: unclassified non-coding RNA, 374 nt
Filed under: Hevea brasiliensis (rubber tree)
Lineage: Eukaryota; Viridiplantae; Streptophyta; Magnoliopsida; Malpighiales; Euphorbiaceae
Source: RNAcentral
AUGAAUAGAACCCAAUCCAUGUUAGCUGCAACUCAUGUAGACCCAAGCAAUUAAUGCAGAAAAAUAUCUCACUUGCUCUUUUAGAAUAGUUAGUAUUUCCCUCCCUAACUUUAACCUAAUGUAAUCAUCAAAAUGGCACCAUUAUAUCAUGCCUUUUUUGCAUCUCUAGUAACCAUAGGAGGGAAAUGGUUUGCAAAAGAAAUCGAAGGGGUUGCGAGAAUGAGGGACUCACACAAAGGGAUAGAGAGAAAGAGAAUGAGGGCAGGCUAGGGAAUGGGGAGUGUUGCUUGCAUACAAGAGAGAAUGUAAUUUUAAUCUAGUGCUUGUGGACUCAACCAAGAUGAUAGUACAUCUAAUUAAAUACGACACAGAAA